This 580-nucleotide ribosomal RNA is filed under the name Leptychaster propinquus. RNAcentral describes it as "partial 16S ribosomal RNA". It matches the Rfam family "Bacterial large subunit ribosomal RNA", at positions 1816 to 2597 of the family's 2925-position model. The record is from RNAcentral. Lineage: Eukaryota; Metazoa; Echinodermata; Asteroidea; Paxillosida; Astropectinidae.
CGCCCCUUGAAAAGAGUACUUAAGGAUAAGGGGCUCUGCCUGCCCAGUGACAGUAGUUUAACGGCCGCGGUAUUUUGACCGUGCAAAGGUAGCAUAAUCAUUUGCCUUUUAAAUGGAGGCUGGAAUGAACGGCAAGACGAGAAUUUAACUGUCUCUCUUCUAGUUACCCAGAAAUUAAUAUUCUUGUGAAGAAGCGAGAAUGCAGUCGUGGGACGAGAAGACCCUAUUGAGCUUAAGCGAGGGUUUAGGUGCUAGUUUCUUAUUUUAGGCUAAUUAUUAAUUAAUAUAAGUUUACUUGGGGUAAGGAUAGCAUUAUACAUAAGUCGUUUUGGUUGGGGCAACCGCGGAGAAAAACCAACCUCCGCUGAGAAAAAAGGGAAGAUACUUCUUCAGAAUGGAAAUAAUUCUAUAAAAUGACCCACUUAAUAGUGAUCAAAGGAAAAAGUUACCAUAGGGAUAACAGCGUAAUUUUUUUGGAGAGUUCAUAUUGAUAAAAAAGUUUGCGACCUCGAUGUUGGAUCGGGACUUCCGGAGGGUGUAGCAGCUCUUAAGGGUUGGUCUGUUCGACCAUUAAAGUCCU